CUAUGUUAUUCGCAUUCUACUCUGCAAGUUCUUUCAGUUGAUACCUGGUAUUAUUAAGAAACACUUAAUCGCGGUGUAUACCUUAUUCAUUUUAAUAUGAACCCAUUUCUAGGCAGAUAAUAUAUUUUCAUUUAAGGAAUGUACAAAAGUAGUUUUCAACAUUCGGUCUUGUUUGCGCUAUGAUAAAUAAGCAUAAAACCUCAAAAAUGUGCAAAAAAACAAAGUCUAAUGACUUGUAAUUUUGUGUCGGCACGAGUUACGUUUUCCAUUUUUGGACAUAAGGAGUAGGAUGCUUUGUAAAGUAAAUGUAGAAAAUUUCGUUCCUCUAACUUCUAUAAUUGCCCAGCAAAGAGCAAAAAUUAAAAAAUUGUUUUUAAAAAAAGCGAACUUGCGUUCGGUUUAUGGUCCACUGCGCAUUUUUGCUGCGACCGAUUUGGCCAGUUUUCAAUACCAACCUACGUGCAGAAAAUUCCAAUGUUUUUGCCAAAUUUAAAUUCGAUAUCUUCAUUUUUCCGACCAGGAGAGUAUUAACAACACACACCACGCAGACAGAUAGUCUUAAAGGCGGACGGACAUGGCGAAAUCAAUUCAGAAUUUCAUGCUGAUCAAGAAUAUACAUAUACUCUACAUGGUCUCUCAAGCUUCCUUUUUGGGUGGUACUUAUAUUUUGGAAAAAAAUAAAAUGAGCAUACCCCAAUUUUACAGUCGGCGAUAUCAGGCUGCUGCAUUUGAGGCAAAAGUCUGCAAUGAAAACAAAAGGAGGAACAGAUUCGCUAUAGAGUGACGCUUGGCAAUAUACUAAUCCUUUCGUUCGACUAGUUAUUUCUCGACCAUUCAUGCCGGAAGCCUAACGCAACUCCUCUUAGGUUAGAUGUAGACAUCAAGCUUUGCUCUCCUAUGUGUGUUAUCGUGAAAGAAAAUUACUCUACAGUUUUAUUAAAAGAACGGAUUUUGACUAAUUGUCAAUUUGAGUAAUCCGUAUCAUUGAUGCAUUUAUACGGCUAAAAAUAAUAAAAAAAAUGUAAAUAGUAAGUAUGUCUAAGAAUACGUCUUUUUUACAUGCUAUUUCUCUUAGGUAAAAGUGUUCCCCGAUCGGCUCGGUAUCAGGAGUGAGGUUACAAAAAAGUCAACAUUGAGACUGCUAGACUUGGCCUUCCGUUUGUCGUCCACAGAAAUAUUUGUUACAAGUUUGUAUUAUAUAGAGCACGUAAUCUUAAAUAAUAUGAAAUUCCCAAUCGAUUUCAUAUAAUCUGGUACAUACGCCGCUCUGCAUGUUAUCCGCUAAUAGUCCUCAAAGAUUUAGAACGAGAACUAAUAUUUAGAUUAUAUAGCUUCAAAAUAAAUAUGAAAUCAUCUGCGACCUAUCUAAAACCAUGUCUACCACAUAAAUAAACUCUAAUUAAUU
Molecule: long non-coding RNA, 1405 nt
Organism: Glossina fuscipes
Lineage: Eukaryota; Metazoa; Arthropoda; Insecta; Diptera; Glossinidae
Exons: 2
Source: RefSeq, a predicted model, not a curated record